ACAUCACCUCAUAUCCAAAUGAAAAAGAAAAUAAAGAAAAGCUGUCCUCGGCAAAGGGUACCCCGUCGCCUUUGGAGGACUUUCUGUGCCCUUCAAAGUGAAUUUAGAGGUUCUACACAA
Molecule: small nucleolar RNA, 120 nt
Organism: Erinaceus europaeus (western European hedgehog)
Lineage: Eukaryota; Metazoa; Chordata; Mammalia; Eulipotyphla; Erinaceidae
Source: Ensembl